AGAGCGAACGCUGGCGGCAUGCCUAACACAUGCAAGUCUGACGGGCUUGGGGCAACCCAAGUCAGUGGCGGACGGGUGAGGAGCGCGUAGGAACGCAUCCAAGGGUGGGGGACAACCGCGGGAAACUGCGGCUAAUACCGCAUGGGGGCCUCGGGGGAACCUAACAAGGGAACCUGAGGCCAAAGGCUAGGAAACUAGUCGCCCAUGGAACGGCCUGCGUCCGAUUAGCUAGUUGGUGGGGUGACGGCUUACCAAGGCGACGAUCGGUAGCUGGUCUGAGAGGAUGAUCAGCCACACUGGGACUGAGACACGGCCCAGACUCCUACGGGAGGCAGCAGUGGGGAGUAUUGGACAAUGGGCGAAAGCCUGAUCCAGCAAUGCCGCGUGGGUGAAGAAGGUCUUCGGAUUGUAAAGCCCUUUCGGCGGGGACGAUGAUGACGGUACCCGCAGAAGAACGCCCCGGCUAACUUCGCGCCAGCAGCCGCGGU
This 488-nucleotide ribosomal RNA is filed under the name uncultured bacterium. RNAcentral's name for it is "SSU rRNA". It matches the Rfam family "Bacterial small subunit ribosomal RNA", at positions 26 to 521 of the family's 1533-position model. The record is from RNAcentral.